Molecule: ribosomal RNA, 1393 nt
Filed under: Holotrichapion wollastoni
Lineage: Eukaryota; Metazoa; Arthropoda; Insecta; Coleoptera; Brentidae
Description: partial 16S ribosomal RNA
Source: RNAcentral
UUCAGAGGAACCUGUCCUAUAAUUGAUGGUCCACGAUUUAAAUAACUUAUUUUAUUAGUUUACAUAUCGCCGUAGAUUGAAUAUUUUAAUAGAAAAAUCAUAUUCAAAAUUUUUAAAGCAAAAAUAAAUCAGGUCAAGGUGUAGCUUAUAAAUAAGAAGAGAUGGGUUACAAUAAAAAUAUUUAAAUGGAUAAUUAUUUGAAAUAUUAGUUUGAAGGUGGAUUUGAUAGUAAUUUUAAUAAAAUUAUUAAAAUGAUUUUAGCUCUAAAAUAUGCACAUAUCGCCCGUCAUUUUCAUUAUAAAAUGAAACAAGUCGUAACAUAGUAGGUGUACUGGAAAGUGUACCUAGAACGGCAAGUUAGAGCUUGUUAAAAAGCAUUUUAUUUACACUAAAAAGUUUAUUGUGAGAAUCAAUAUAACUUGAAUUUUUAUAAUUAUUUAAAUUUAAAAUUUUAAUUUAUUUAAAUAAAGUAAUUUAUAUUUUUAUUAUUAAAUUGAACCAAUUUUUUUUAUUAUAGUAAAUUAGUAUUGUGAAAGAAAUACAUAUAAAUAAUUAAAAGAAUAAUUAAUUUUUAAAAAACAUGGCCUUUUGAUUAUAAUUUAAGGUCUAACCUGCCCAAUGAAAUUUUCAAUGGCCGCGGUAUUUUGACCGUGCAAAGGUAGCAUAAUCAUUUGUUUUUUAAUUGAAAGCUGGAAUGAAGGGUUGAAUGAGAAAAUAACUGUCUCUGUUUAAUUUUUUUAGAAUUUUAUUUUUAAGUUAAAAAGCUUAAAUAUUUUUUGAAGACGAGAAGACCCUAUAGAGUUUAAUAUUUACGUUAUUUAAAUAAUUUGGUAAUUAUUUUUUUUAAGUUAAGUAUUUAUUUAAUUGGGGUGAUUAAAAAAUUAAUAAAACUUUUUUUGUAUAUAAUCAUUGAUUAAUGAAUUAUUGAUCCUUUAAAAGAUUAAAAGAUUAAAUUACCUUAGGGAUAACAGCGUAAUUUUUUUUUAGAGUUCAAAUCGAAAAAAAAGAUUGCGACCUCGAUGUUGGAUUAAAAUUAAUUUUUGGUGUAGAAGCUAAAUCUAUUGGGUCUGUUCGACCUUUAAAAUUUUACUUGAUCUGAGUUCAAACCGGUGUGAGCCAGGUUGGUUUCUAUCUCGAAAUAUAUAAAAUAUUUUAGUACGAAAGGAUCAAAUAUUUAAUUAAAAAUUUUAUAAAUGAAUAAUAUUAAUAGUUAUUUUGGCAGAAUAGUGCGAAAGAUUUAGAAUCUUUAUAUGUAAUUUUUACAAAUAAUACUUGAAAUUAUGUGAUUUAUUUUUAAUACUAGUCUCUAGUUUAAUUUUAGCUUUUUGUGUUAUAAUUGGAGUAGCUUUUUUAACAUUAUUAGAACGAAAGGUCUUAGGAUAUAUUCAAAUUC